RNAcentral lists this transfer RNA (73 nucleotides) under archaeon ADurb.Bin336. RNAcentral describes it as "tRNA-Pro". It matches the Rfam family "tRNA". Rfam says of the family: Transfer RNA (tRNA) molecules are approximately 80 nucleotides in length. Their secondary structure includes four short double-helical elements and three loops (D, anti-codon, and T loops). The record is from RNAcentral.
UGGGGGAUUGGUCUAGUGGUAUGAUUGGCGCUUUGGGAGCGUCAGACAGGGGUUCAAUUCCCUUAUCCCCCAU